UUAGCUAUAUAGCUAGCUAAUGAACAUUAAUAGUGACAGCUACGAUUGGCUCACAAGCUAUUGUUUACAGUGCCUUCGUGCGUGCCUCAACGUUAGCCAGCUAACUAAUGAAUGCAGCUUGUCAUAUUUAUCAAACGGCAGCCACGUUUUCCCACAAAUCAAACAGGCCACAUUAUAAAUAAUCAAGAUAAACAUGGACUGGCUAGCGUGCAUGCUACCUGUCCUUGUAUUUUAUACCCAGACUGCAGCCAGCUAACAUCCCUUGUAUUAACGUUAACUGCUUCCCACAGAACAGCCUCCCUCCCCACUACUCACUUACCUCCCCCGCGUUCGUGGUGGCCGUGCUGGCAGUGGACGCAGCGCUAGGGGUGGGAGAACGCUGCAGCGUUACCAAAGCCAUGGCUGGGGACGAGACUACCGGUGGGAACUCCCUUGCCGGGAAGAAGCUCUGUUCCUGGACAGGACCCGCUGAGGUCGUCCCGUCACGUUUAGCGAUGCUGGUUGUUCAGGACCACCCUAGCCAGCAAUUCCAAAUGUCUGAUUUCACCGUCCUGAUAAAUCCAUCCUCCACUUUUGGCAGUCAAAUAUCCGUUCGCCGGCCGUUUUGUAUGUUCCUAGCGAGAUGCAUGUGAUAAUGACAUCGGAGGAUGCGGUUUGUCAUUUGUCAGAUCAUUAAGGUUAAACAGACACACAAAACAUUUCCAACUGGAAACAACGGGGACGGGUGAGGGAUGCGCACAUCUCCAAUGAUGCUCCGUCUGAUUCUAUUUUGUUGAUUUGAAGGCUAGCGCGCUAGCUUUAGCUAGUUACAGUAUGUGUAUCAGAAUGUAGCUUUUUUCAGAACAGGGUCGCACUAGUCCAAAUCUGAUAGAUGUGACGCAGUUUCUUCUAACAAUGUCAGUUUGUGUUGCCUCUCGGUUCAAACCAGGUGUUCUCAAUACCAGACGUCCACAAGCCUCGAAAAACGUCGAAGAUGCGUCUCGCCGUGUUGGAACCAUCACGUUUGCCGCAUGACAUUAACACCGGACACGUCAUAUUUCUUUUAAGAGAUUUGUGUUUUGCUUUAUUUGUUAAAUUGCGUUUUACUUUAUUUCUGUAAAAAAUAAAUUGGUUUAUUUAACAUGGCAAACUGAA
Long non-coding RNA from Anguilla rostrata (American eel), 1134 nucleotides. RefSeq lists it as uncharacterized. The transcript is spliced from 2 exons. Lineage: Eukaryota; Metazoa; Chordata; Actinopteri; Anguilliformes; Anguillidae. The record is from RefSeq and is a predicted model, not a curated record.